CAUGCCGGACAAUACCGAUCGCAUCGCAACCGUUACACGGUAAUGCAGAUAACCGUUUAAAUAUUAAUCAAUGUACUCGCGGAAAACGCCGCUGUGGUUGUACAGCGCGCGCGUGAUAAUCUACGGGCAAUGGUAAUAACAAUAAUACGUUCGCGCAUCCACCACGCACCCCGUAAACCGAUUUGCAUUCGCCGUUCUCACGUUCGGCUCCGGUACACCUGUGCGCAUUAACCCGCGCCUACCCGGUGAAUUACAGAUCGGCCGUCGAUUGUCAACGUUUUCAUAAC
Cinara cedri is the source of this 287-nucleotide non-coding RNA. The record is from the annotation of a GenBank genome assembly. NCBI's taxonomy places the organism in Eukaryota, Metazoa, Arthropoda, Insecta, Hemiptera, Aphididae.